GACGUAGGGCGCGAGCGUUGUCCGGAUUUAUUGGGCGUAAAGAGCUCGUAGGCGGCUUGUCGCGUCGUCCGUGAAAACUUGGGGCUCAACCCCAAGCUUGCGGUCGAUACGGGCAGGCUAGAGUUCGGUAGGGGAGACUGGAAUUCCUGGUGUAGCGGUGAAAUGCGCAGAUAUCAGGAAGAACACCCGUGGCGAAAGCGGCUCUCUGGAACGGUACUGACGCUGAGACGCGAAAGCGUGGGGAGCGAACAGG
RNAcentral lists this ribosomal RNA (253 nucleotides) under uncultured bacterium. RNAcentral describes it as "partial 16S ribosomal RNA". It matches the Rfam family "Bacterial small subunit ribosomal RNA", at positions 524 to 776 of the family's 1533-position model. The record is from RNAcentral.